RNAcentral lists this transfer RNA (75 nucleotides) under Microgenomates group bacterium RBG_16_45_19. RNAcentral's name for it is "tRNA-Ala". It matches the Rfam family "tRNA". Rfam says of the family: Transfer RNA (tRNA) molecules are approximately 80 nucleotides in length. Their secondary structure includes four short double-helical elements and three loops (D, anti-codon, and T loops). The record is from RNAcentral.
GGGCCGUUAGCUUAGUCGGUAGAGCACCGCAUUCGCAUUGCGGCAACGGGAGUUCGAUUCUCCCACGGUCCACCA